UGGCGGCAGGCCUAACACAUGCAAGUCGAGCGGUAACAUUUCUAGCUUGCUAGAAGAUGACGAGCGGCGGACGGGUGAGUAACGCGUAGAAAUCUACCUAGUAGUGGGGGAUAGCCCAGAGAAAUUUGGAUUAAUACCGCAUACGCCCUACCGGGGGAAAGCGGGGGAUCUUCGGACCUCGUGCUAUUAGAUGAGUCUGCGUCGGAUUAGCUUGUUGGUGAGGUAAUGGCUCACCAAGGCGACGAUCCGUAGCUGGUCUGAGAGGAUGACCAGCCACACUGGAACUGAGACACGGUCCAGACUCCUACGGGAGGCAGCAGUGGGGAAUAUUGCACAAUGGGCGCAAGCCUGAUGCAGCCAUGCCGCGUGUGUGAAGAAGGCCUUAGGGUUGUAAAGCACUUUCAGCAGUGAGGAAAGGGGUGUCGUUAAUAGCGCCAUCCUGUGACGUUAACUGCAGAAGAAGGACCGGCUAACUCCGUG
This 480-nucleotide ribosomal RNA is filed under the name uncultured bacterium. Its description in RNAcentral is "bacterial SSU rRNA". It matches the Rfam family "Bacterial small subunit ribosomal RNA", at positions 37 to 507 of the family's 1533-position model. The record is from RNAcentral.